AGAAUAAACAGCAGGGAUGAAAACAUGAUCAUGAAGGUGGUUUUCCGGGCCCGUCUUACCCAUUGCCCUCCAGAUGUGCUGGCCCUUGAUAGUUUUCUAAAUGUGGAAAACUUAACUGCAUAAUUUCUGGUCGUGGGGAACUGGCUUCAUUCUCUCCCCU
Arvicola amphibius (Eurasian water vole) is the source of this 160-nucleotide small nuclear RNA. RefSeq annotates it as U1 spliceosomal RNA. The transcript has a single exon. The record is from RefSeq and is a predicted model, not a curated record. Lineage: Eukaryota; Metazoa; Chordata; Mammalia; Rodentia; Cricetidae.